This 402-nucleotide ribosomal RNA is filed under the name uncultured bacterium. RNAcentral's name for it is "bacterial SSU rRNA". It matches the Rfam family "Bacterial small subunit ribosomal RNA", at positions 39 to 455 of the family's 1533-position model. The record is from RNAcentral.
GGCCGCGGGAAUUCGAUUCAGGCCUAACACAUGCAAGUCGAACGCUGUAGCAAUACAGAGUGGCGCACGGGUGAGUAACGCGUGGGAACGUGCCCUUCAGUACGGAACAACGUCGGGAAACUGACGCUAAUACCGUAUAAUGUCUUCGGACCAAAGAUUUAUCGCUGAAGGAGCGGCCCGCGUCUGAUUAGCUAGUUGGUGAGGUAACGGCUCACCAAGGCUACGAUCAGUAGCUGGUCUGAGAGGAUGAUCAGCCACACUGGGACUGAGACACGGCCCAGACUCCUACGGGAGGCAGCAGUGAGGAAUAUUGGACAAUGGGCGAAAGCCUGAUCCAGCCAUGCCGCGUGAGUGAUGGAGGCCUUCGGGUUGUAAAGCUCUUUCAGGUGCGACGAUAAUGAC